RNAcentral lists this ribosomal RNA (440 nucleotides) under uncultured bacterium. RNAcentral describes it as "partial 16S ribosomal RNA". It matches the Rfam family "Bacterial small subunit ribosomal RNA", at positions 338 to 795 of the family's 1533-position model. The record is from RNAcentral.
CCUACGGGAGGCAGCAGUGGGGAAUAUUGCACAAUGGGGGAAACCCUGAUGCAGCGACGCCGCGUGAGUGAAGAAGUAUUUCGGUACGUAAAGCUCUAUCAGCAGGGAAGAAAAUGACGGUACCUGACUAAGAAGCCCCGGCUAACUACGUGCCAGCAGCCGCGGUAAUACGUAGGGGGCAAGCGUUAUCCGGAUUUACUGGGUGUAAAGGGAGCGUAGACGGCAGCGCAAGUCUGGAGUGAAAUCCCAUGGCUUAACCAUGGAACUGCUUUGGAAACUGUGCAGCUAGAGUGCAGGAGAGGUAGGCGGAAUUCCUAGUGUAGCGGUGAAAUGCGUAGAUAUUAGGAGGAACACCAGUGGCGAAGGCGGCUUACUGGACUGUAACUGACGUUGAGGCUUGAAAGCGUGGGGAGCAAACAGGAUUAGAUACCCCGGUAGUC